ACGGGAGGCAGCAGUGGGGAAUAUUGCACAAUGGGUGAAACCCUGAUGCAGCGACGCCGCGUGAGUGAAGAAGUAUUUCGGUAUGUAAAGCUCUAUCAGCAGGGAAGAUAAUGACGGUACCUGACUAAGAAGCCCCGGCUAACUCCGUGCCAGCAUCCGCGGUAAUACGUAGGGGGCAAGCGUUAUCCGGAUUUACUGGGUGUAAAGGGAGCGUAGGUGGUUUGGCAAGUCUGAUGUGAAAGCCCGGGGCUUAACUCCGGGAUUGCAUGGGAAACUGUCAAACUAGAGUACUGGAGAGGCAAGUGGAAUUCCUAGUGUAGCGGUGAAAUGCGUAGAUAUUAGGAGGAACACCAGUGGCGAAGGCGGCUUGCUGGACAGUUACUGACACUGAGGCUCGAAAGCGUGGGGAGCAAACAGGAUUAGAUACCCUGGUA
RNAcentral lists this ribosomal RNA (434 nucleotides) under uncultured Lachnospiraceae bacterium. Its description in RNAcentral is "partial 16S ribosomal RNA". It matches the Rfam family "Bacterial small subunit ribosomal RNA", at positions 341 to 792 of the family's 1533-position model. The record is from RNAcentral. Lineage: Bacteria; Bacillati; Bacillota; Clostridia; Lachnospirales; Lachnospiraceae.